Molecule: non-coding RNA, 125 nt
Organism: Triticum aestivum (bread wheat)
Lineage: Eukaryota; Viridiplantae; Streptophyta; Magnoliopsida; Poales; Poaceae
Source: Rfam
GUAAUAUUCCCUCCGUUUGGAAUUACUUGUGAUAGAAAUGAAUAAAAAUGGAUGUAUCUAAAACUAUAAUACGUUUAGACACAUCUAUCUCUCCGACAAGUAAUUCCAGACGGAGGGAGUACUAG